AUUGAACGCUGGCGGCAUGCCUUACACAUGCAAGUCGAACGGCAGCACGGAGCUUGCUCUGGUGGCGAGUGGCGAACGGGUGAGUAAUAUAUCGGAACGUACCCUAGAGUGGGGGAUAACGUAGCGAAAGUUACGCUAAUACCGCAUACGAUCUAAGGAUGAAAGUGGGGGAUCGCAAGACCUCAUGCUCGUGGAGCGGCCGAUAUCUGAUUAGCUAGUUGGUAGGGUAAAAGCCUACCAAGGCAUCGAUCAGUAGCUGGUCUGAGAGGACGACCAGCCACACUGGAACUGAGACACGGUCCAGACUCCUACGGGAGGCAGCAGUGGGGAAUUUUGGACAAUGGGCGAAAGCCUGAUCCAGCAAUGCCGCGUGAGUGAAGAAGGCCUUCGGGUUGUAAAGCUCUUUUGUCAGGGAAGAAACGGUGAAAGCUAAUAUCUUUUGCUAAUGACGGUACCUGAAGAAUAAGCACCGGCUAACUACGUGCCAGCAGCCGCGGUAAUACGUAGGGUGCAAGCGUUAAUCGGAAUUACUGGGCGUAAAGCGUGCGCAGGCGGUUUUGUAAGUCUGAUGUGAAAUCCCCGGGCUCAACCUGGGAAUUGCAUUGGAGACUGCAAGGCUAGAAUCUGGCAGAGGGGGGUAGAAUUCCACGUGUAGCAGUGAAAUGCGUAGAUAUGUGGAGGAACACCGAUGGCGAAGGCAGCCCCCUGGGUCAAGAUUGACGCUCAUGCACGAAAGCGUGGGGAGCAAACAGGAUUAGAUACCCUGGUAGUCCACGCCCUAAACGAUGUCUACUGGUUGUCGGGUCUUAAUUGACUUGGUAACGCAGCUAACGCGUGAAGUAGACCGCCUGGGGAGUACGGUCGCAAGAUUAAAACUCAAAGGAAUUGACGGGGACCCGCACAAGCGGUGGAUGAUGUGGAUUAAUUCGAUGCAACGCGAAAAACCUUACCUACCCUUGACAUGGCUGGAAUCCUUGAGAGAUCAGGGAGUGCUCGAAAGAGAACCAGUACACAGGUGCUGCAUGGCUGUCGUCAGCUCGUGUCGUGAGAUGUUGGGUUAAGUCCCGCAACGAGCGCAACCCUUGUCAUUAGUUGCUACGAAAGGGCACUCUAAUGAGACUGCCGGUGACAAACCGGAGGAAGGUGGGGAUGACGUCAAGUCCUCAUGGCCCUUAUGGGUAGGGCUUCACACGUCAUACAAUGGUACAUACAGAGCGCCGCCAACCCGCGAGGGGGAGCUAAUCGCAGAAAGUGUAUCGUAGUCCGGAUUGUAGUCUGCAACUCGACUGCAUGAAGUUGGAAUCGCUAGUAAUCGCGGAUCAGCAUGUCGCGGUGAAUACGUUCCCGGGUCU
This 1352-nucleotide ribosomal RNA is filed under the name uncultured bacterium. Its description in RNAcentral is "bacterial SSU rRNA". It matches the Rfam family "Bacterial small subunit ribosomal RNA", at positions 28 to 1381 of the family's 1533-position model. The record is from RNAcentral.